GAUGAACGCUGGCGGCGUGCCUAAUACAUGCAAGUCGAGCGAACGGACGAGAAGCUUGCUUCUCUGAUGUUAGCGGCGGACGGGUGAGUCACACGUGGAUAACCUACCUAUAAGACUGGGAUAACUUCGGGAAACCGUAGCUAAUACCGGAUAAUAUUUUGAACCGCAUGGUUCAAAAGUGAAAGACGGUCUUGCUGUCACUUAUAGAUGGAUCCGCGCUGCAUUAGCUAGUUGGUAAGGUAACGGCUUACCAAGGCGACGAUGCAUAGCCGACCUGAGAGGGUGAUCGGCCACACUGGAACUGAGACACGGUCCAGACUCCUACGGGAGGCAGCAGUAGGGAAUCUUCCGCAAUGGGCGAAAGCCUGACGGAGCAACGCCGCGUGAGUGAUGAAGGUCUUCGGAUCGUAAAGCUCUGUUAUUAGGGAAGAACAUAUGUGUAAGUAACUGUGCACAUCUUGACGGUACCUAAUCAGAAAGCCACGGCUAACUACGUG
Molecule: ribosomal RNA, 497 nt
Filed under: uncultured bacterium
Lineage: Bacteria
Description: partial 16S ribosomal RNA
Rfam family: Bacterial small subunit ribosomal RNA
Source: RNAcentral